RNAcentral lists this ribosomal RNA (445 nucleotides) under uncultured soil bacterium. RNAcentral describes it as "bacterial SSU rRNA". It matches the Rfam family "Bacterial small subunit ribosomal RNA", at positions 26 to 518 of the family's 1533-position model. The record is from RNAcentral.
AGAACGAACGCUGGCGGCAUGCCUAACGCAUGCAAGUCGAACGAAGCCUUCGGGCUUAGUGGCGCACGGGUGCGUAACGCGUGGGAAUCUGCCCCUCGGUUCGGAAUAACAGUUAGGAAUGACUGCUAAUACCGGAUGAUGACGAAAGUCCAAAGAUUUAUCGCCGAGGGAUGAGCCCGCGUAGGAUUAGCUAGUUGGUGAGGUAAAGGCUCACCAAGGCGACGAUCCUUAGCUGGUCUGAGAGGAUGAUCAGCCACACUGGGACUGAGACACGGCCCAGACUCCUACGGGAGGCAGCAGUGGGGAAUAUUGGACAAUGGGCGAAAGCCUGAUCCAGCAAUGCCGCGUGAGUGAUGAAGGCCUUAGGGUCGUAAAGCUCUUUUACCCGGGAUGAUAAUGACAGUACGGAGAAUAAGCUCCGGCUAACUCCGCGCCAGCACGCCGC